This 322-nucleotide ribosomal RNA is filed under the name uncultured bacterium. Its description in RNAcentral is "bacterial SSU rRNA". It matches the Rfam family "Bacterial small subunit ribosomal RNA", at positions 29 to 346 of the family's 1533-position model. The record is from RNAcentral.
AUUGAACGCUGGCGGCGUGCCUAACACAUGCAAGUCGAGCGGUAACAGGUGUAGCAAUACAUGCUGACGAGCGGCGGACGGGUGAGUAACGCUUGGGAAUCUGCCUAUUAGUGGGGGACGAACCCGGGGAAACGUCGGGCGUAAUACCGCAUACGCACUACGGUGGAAAGACCGGGGACCGGCAAGGCCUGGCGCUAACAGAUGAGCCCAAGUCGGAUUAGCUAGUUGGUAGGGUAACGGCCACCAAGGCGACGAUCCGUAACUGGUCUGAGAGGACGACCAGUCACACCGGAACUGAGACACGGUCCGGACUCCUACGGGA